Molecule: ribosomal RNA, 508 nt
Filed under: uncultured bacterium
Lineage: Bacteria
Description: bacterial SSU rRNA
Rfam family: Bacterial small subunit ribosomal RNA
Source: RNAcentral
GAUGAACGCUAGCGGCAGGCUUAACACAUGCAAGUCGAGGGGCAUCGCGGGUGGCAACACCUGGCGGCGACCGGCGAACGGGUGAGUAACGCGUGAGCAACAUGUCCUCAGUCGGGGGAUAAGCGAGGGAAACUUCGUCUAAUACCCCAUAACACUUUCAGGCGCAUGCCUUUAAGUUGAAAGCUUUUUUUGCGACUUUGGUUUGGCUCGCGUGACAUUAGCUAGUCGGUGGGGUAACGGCUCACCGAGGCUACGAUGUCUAGGGGUUCUGAGAGGAAGGCCCCCCACAUUGGGACUGGGACACGGCCCAAACUCCUACGGGAGGCAGCAGUGAGGAAUAUUGGUCAAUGGACGAAGUCUGAACCAGCCAUGCCGCGUGAAGGAAGACUGCCCUAGUGGGUUGUAAACUGCUUUUCCCCGGGGCGAAUAACCCCCUGCGAGGGGGAUGCCGGUACGGGGAAUAGGAUCGGCUACUCCGUGCCAGCACGCCGCGGUAAACUGUAGUCGU